Molecule: transfer RNA, 73 nt
Filed under: Phycisphaerales bacterium
Lineage: Bacteria; Pseudomonadati; Planctomycetota; Phycisphaerae; Phycisphaerales
Description: tRNA-Met
Rfam family: tRNA
About the family: Transfer RNA (tRNA) molecules are approximately 80 nucleotides in length. Their secondary structure includes four short double-helical elements and three loops (D, anti-codon, and T loops). Further hydrogen bonds mediate the characteristic L-shaped molecular structure. tRNAs have two regions of fundamental functional importance: the anti-codon, which is responsible for specific mRNA codon recognition, and the 3' end, to which the tRNAs corresponding amino acid is attached (by aminoacyl-tRNA synthetases). tRNAs cope with the degeneracy of the genetic code in two manners: having more than one tRNA (with a specific anti-codon) for a particular amino acid; and 'wobble' base-pairing, i.e. permitting non-standard base-pairing at the 3rd anti-codon position.
Source: RNAcentral
GGGCCCGUAGCUCAGUGGUUAGAGCUGUCGACUCAUAAUCGAUCGGUCGCAGGUUCGAAUCCUGCCGGGCCCA